UUUGGAGCUCUUAGUGUGACUGCAGAAAACGAACAUCAUAUGAAAAGGCAUGCCCAAAAGUUAAAUAUCAAAAUAGAUGAUAUAACUAAGUAUUACAAAAAUAACAUAAUUGAAAAGUAUUUUAAAAACAAAAAGAUGACAUAAAACAAUCUGCCAAUGCAUGUUAGACAAGGAAUAAGGCAAGAAAUUUCACUAUAUCUCUGACUAGGACAGGACCUCUUAAAAAUAAAAAAUUUGGCAGGACAAUAAUUCUGAAAAGACAGAUUUCCUAUCCUUCCUUUCAUCUCUGGCAAAAUACAGCUCAAAAUUUCAAACCCCUCACGUAAAAUAAGAACAGGUUUUACAACAUGAACUAGCAAUUUACUAGUCUGUUAGUCAUUAAUUUGAUAAUCACUUGAAAAUUAUUUAUCCUUUCCAAGAGAAAUCUAUCAUCAGGAAAGAAGUUGGGAACUAAAGCUCCAUUGUUGAGCAGACAAUGACUUCUGUGAGUGCAAAAAAAUUUUACUGAGAAACUGAAUUUUUUUCUUCCAUUUGGUUGGCACUUAAAAAAAAUCCAGUAAUUGUUUUAUGGAAUUCUUCAACCAAAAAAAUAUUGUUCUCCUUCCACCAAGAUGAUCACACCUUCCAUGAAGAUGACCACAGAAAUUAUGGAUAGAUAAAAGCUAUAUAUAUAUUUGGUUAAUUUGCUUUAAUAAAUGAGAACAAUACAUCAUAAAGAUAGAUUACAGUGGAUGCUAAUGACUGGAAGCAGCUGAUGGGUGCUAGUUACAACUGGUGGUUAGUGGACUCCAAAACGUAUCUAUAUGGUUCUUUUAUGGUUUCCUACAGUUUUGUUGAUUCAUAGAAAAAUAACUUAAUUCCCUCUGACAAGAAAAAAGUUAACAUUGACAAAAUUUCUAUGCUUAUCAAACAUUAGUAAUUAUGGAUAACAUCUUCCAUGAAAGAAACAAAGCCAAAUAAAAUUUUCCUCUAAGAAUAAAAGUAUGACAAUUAGCAAAACAACAACAAUGCUUUGGCCCAAUCUCAGACUGAAAGCUAAAUAUGGGAUUCUGAUAAACCAAACACCAAAAAAUUCUAUGUAGACAUCAAAAUUAUUAGCAUAUUUAGGAACAAGAAACUACAGUUAUAAUAAAACCAAAAAUGCAUUUGUUUCAUACGGCUCAAACAAACUAUUAUAGCCAAAUUCUGAUUACACAUCAUUUGAAUUGAAAGCAAAACAAAAUAUACCAAACUGAACAAUUACAAGUUGACAUCUCAAGUAACUUAAUGAAAAAUAAAUAACUCCACAAUGCUUCCAGACUAAACAACAAUACCUGCUCCAAAAUCAUUCUCACCAGCACUGUAUCGACUGCAACC
Molecule: unclassified non-coding RNA, 1356 nt
Filed under: Hevea brasiliensis (rubber tree)
Lineage: Eukaryota; Viridiplantae; Streptophyta; Magnoliopsida; Malpighiales; Euphorbiaceae
Source: RNAcentral